UGAAUCAUCAAGUUUUCAAUGUAGAUAAAGUUUCCUAAUGUUGAUGAGACAUUCUUUGUGGGGACUGUGGAUAUUUAGAAUUUUUAGGAUUACCCACCAGAUGCCUAUUUCAUCACAUAUUUAAUCUUUCGGAAACACAUUUGAUCAGCUCAUUUGCUGACUGAAGCCUCAUUGGUUGUCUGUUAACUGAAAUGGUGUAUAAAAAGCAGAUUUUUGCUGUUUAGCUACAACCCAGCAUCAAUGUCAGCCUCAGAACAAUCUUUUUCUUGAACAGGAUUUCCAGAUGACCAUGAAACUACUAGUCCUAGUGGUGUGCCUGAUUGGACUGUGUUCCUCCAUUCCUGUGUCUAAGAAACAUGAUAGAGAGGAGCGCUCUUCGAGUCAUGAGGGGUAUAGGGGUUUUGGGGGGUUCUACCCCUAUCCUCAGUACUUCCCACCAGCUCCCCAGGGUGACUCUGACCUCAUGGCCCUGCUGCCCUUGCUAUUGGCAAGACCAGUUCCUGCACCAGUCCCUGCCCCACCUGCCCCAUCUAUCCUAUCUUACUUAACUUCCUUUCUUGGAAGGUAAUAGAAAUUAGAUGGUCUUUGAUGGAAGACUGGCUAGAAAAUUUACUACAAUGUCAACUCUAUUGCAAAGCUAAGAAUUCCACUAAAAAUAAAUAAAUACAAUUUAGACUGCUCUUCAUGGAUGAUUUUUGAAAGGAGUGGAGCAGCACUUCUCCCUUUUUUAUAUUUUGUGCUUUAUUUACGCAAUAGUAAAGUUGUGAUAAACAGAAAAGAUGGGAGUGUUAGCCAAAUGGCUAAAACCCAUAAUCCUGUGGCUGUACUCAGUUGGAAUAUACAAGCCACUUUUAAGUGUUUGUCUUUGUCUGUUCUGUUCUGUGCUUCACAGAAUUUAGAAACAAUUCUAUUUUAGAUGUUUUCAGAACAUGUCUAGACAUGAAACCUCUCAAACAUAAGUUUAAUGCUCUAAAACGUUUGCACCACAAAAAAGAAUAAAAGUUGGACAGUUCGACUAUGUAAAUGUAAAUUAAAUAAUUGCAAUAAUAAUUUGUAUACAGUUAAUAGAUAAUUUAUAUCAUUACAAAAUGCAACUGUCAUCAAAAGAUGACCAUUACGAUCUGCCAGAACAUUAUUUGUUGUAUAACAACCUGAAUUACUGAGAAGUUGAAAACAUGAGUGGACAUGAAACUCAGGUGUGGGCUCUACAAUGUUCAAACAAGAUUGUGAAGAAAUUGCCAUUACUAGGUGAACAGGAAUGGCACUGAAGACCUGUCAUGACACUGUGGUAUACUGGUGCAAUAUAAAGCAAUAUAUCAUUAUUGACAUAUAAUGAAUGUAGUUUUUGAGAGAUUACAUUUUUUAUCGUUAACACAAACAGAUGUUUUAGGUCAUUUUGAGCCUUUUGUGUAGUAUGACUUUAGAUAGAAUUUACAUGUCAAAGAGUCACACAAUAAUGAGGACACACACAAUAAUUAAACAAUUAUUAUUAAAUGCUUUGUAUGUAUCUUUAUUACUGUAAUCAUGAAGUGCAAUAAUAGUAUUGAAAAUAAUAUGAACCAACAAACUGGUUAACCAUUUACAAUUUUCUAAUUCAUUAUACUGAACCCAUCACACCCUUCUUUGGAAAAUCCUUUACAUCCAUUUUGCUGUCAUGUCAAACUGGUAGGCUGCAACAAAGAUGUUGUAGCGUACCCCUUCAGAUUUAGGCUGAAAUCAAAAACUCUAUUUAGGGAAUAUGUAAAUCAUAAAUAAAUUAAUUUAUUGGUAGUUAUCUUUAAAUGGCAGAACAUUAGCGACACAACUCCUGUGUCAUUAAUGGUUGGCCCAUUUCACAUGGUUUUUGUAGCCUUUAUUAUACCUUGUGAUGGCC
Long non-coding RNA from Esox lucius (northern pike), 1873 nucleotides. The record is from Ensembl. NCBI's taxonomy places the organism in Eukaryota, Metazoa, Chordata, Actinopteri, Esociformes, Esocidae.